UGAGGAAUCUUGCGCAAUGGAGGAAACUCUGACGCAGCCACGCCGCGUGCCGGAAGACGGCCCUAUGGGUUGUAAACGGCUUUUGAUUGGGAAGAACUGUCCCGUUUCGACGGGACUUGACGGUACCAUUUGAAUAAGCACCGGCUAACUCCGUGCCAGCAGCCGCGGUAAUACGGAGGGUGCAAGCGUUGUCCGGAAUCAUUGGGUGUAAAGGGUGCGUAGGCUGGCAUCUAAGUCUGGGGUGAAAUCUUGCCGCUUAACGGUAAAAUUGCCUUGGAUACUGGAUGUCUUGAAUCUGACAGAGGUCGGUGGAAUUCGUGGUGUAGCGGUGAAAUGCAUAGAUAUCACGAAGAACACCAGUGGCGAAGGCGGCCGGCUGGGUCAGUAUUGACGCUGAGGCACGAGAGCGUGGGGAGCGAACA
Molecule: ribosomal RNA, 422 nt
Filed under: uncultured bacterium
Lineage: Bacteria
Description: bacterial SSU rRNA
Rfam family: Bacterial small subunit ribosomal RNA
Source: RNAcentral